AGAGUUUGAUCCUGGCUCAGAACGAACGCUGGCGGCAUGCCUAACACAUGCAAGUCGAACGUGAUCCGGGGCUUGCUCCGGUGAAAGUGGCGGACGGGUGAGUAACGCGUGGGAACCUGCCCAGUGGUCGGGGAUAACUGCGGGAAACUGCAGCUAAUACCCGGUAAGCCCUACGGGGGAAAGAUUUAUCGCCAUUGGAGGGGCCCGCGUCGGAUUAGGUAGUUGGUGGGGUAAAGGCCUACCAAGCCUUCGAUCCGUAGCUGGUCUGAGAGGAUGAUCAGCCACACUGGGACUGAGAUACGGCCCAGACUCCUACGGGAGGCAGCAGUGGGGAAUAUUGGACAAUGGGCGCAAGCCUGAUCCAGCAAUGCCGCGUGAGUGAAGAAGGCCUUAGGGUUGUAAAGCUCUUUCGGCGGGGACGAUGAUGACGGUACCCGCAGAAGAAGCCCCGGCUAACUCCGUGCCAGCAGCCGCGGUAAUACGGAGGGGGCUAGCGUUGUUCGGAAUUACUGGGCGUAAAGGGCGCGUAGGCGGCGCGAUAAGUUGGGCGUGAAAGGCCCGGGCUCAACCCGGGGACUGCGCUUGAUACUGUCGCGCUGUGAGUCCGGGAGAGGAUGGCGGAAUUCCCAGUGUAGAGGUGAAAUUCGUAGAUAUUGGGAAGAACACCGGUGGCGAAGGCGGCCAUCUGGACCGGCACUGACGCUGAGGCGCGAAAGCGUGGGGAGCAAACAGGAUUAGAUACCCUGGUAGUCCACGCCGUAAACGAUGCGUGCUAGACGUUGGGGGGCUUGCCCUUCGGU
This 800-nucleotide ribosomal RNA is filed under the name uncultured bacterium. Its description in RNAcentral is "bacterial SSU rRNA". It matches the Rfam family "Bacterial small subunit ribosomal RNA", at positions 8 to 844 of the family's 1533-position model. The record is from RNAcentral.